This 170-nucleotide RNase P RNA is filed under the name Thermoprotei archaeon. RNAcentral's name for it is "partial RNase P RNA component". It matches the Rfam family "Archaeal RNase P", at positions 126 to 288 of the family's 288-position model. Rfam says of the family: Ribonuclease P (RNase P) is a ubiquitous endoribonuclease, found in archaea, bacteria and eukarya as well as chloroplasts and mitochondria. The record is from RNAcentral. Lineage: Archaea; Thermoproteati; Thermoproteota; Thermoprotei.
AUAUAUGGCGAUGAUGGGAGAAAGUCCUUGAGGACGCCCGUGGAGUUGGUGAAACGGCCGACCACCCCGGAGCAAGUCCAGUAGGGUCGGGAUGAAUGCCCGGCUGACCGAUCGGGUAGGACGCUUAGAAGAAUGCCGCUGGAACAGAAGGGGGCUUACUCCCCUCACCC